GGUUAAGCGACUAAGCGUACACGGUGGAUGCCCUGGCAGUCAGAGGCGAUGAAGGACGUGCUAAUCUGCGAUAAGCGUCGGUGAGGUGAUAUGAACCGUUAUAACCGGCGAUUUCCGAAUGGGGAAACCCAGUGUGAUUCGUCACACUAUCAUUAACUGAAUCCAUAGGUUAAUGAGGCGAACCGGGGGAACUGAAACAUCUAAGUACCCCGAGGAAAAGAAAUCAACCGAGAUUCCCCCAGUAGCGGCGAGCGAACGGGGAGCAGCCCAGAGCCUGAAUCAGUGUGUGUGUUAGUGGAAGCGUCUGGAAAGGCGCGCGAUACAGGGUGACAGCCCCGUACACAAAAAUGCACAUGCUGUGAGCUCGAUGAGUAGGGCGGGACACGUGGUAUCCUGUCUGAAUAUGGGGGGACCAUCCUCCAAGGCUAAAUACUCCUGACUGACCGAUAGUGAACCAGUACCGUGAGGGAAAGGCGAAAAGAACCCCGGCGAGGGGAGUGAAAAAGAACCUGAAACCGUGUACGUACAAGCAGUGGGAGCACAGAGCAAUCUGUGUGACUGCGUACCUUUUGUAUAAUGGGUCAGCGACUUAUAUUCUGUAGCAAGGUUAACCGAAUAGGGGAGCCGAAGGGAAACCGAGUCUUAACUGGGCGUUAAGUUGCAGGGUAUAGACCCGAAACCCGGUGAUCUAGCCAUGGGCAGGUUGAAGGUUGGGUAACACUAACUGGAGGACCGAACCGACUAAUGUUGAAAAAUUAGCGGAUGACUUGUGGCUGGGGGUGAAAGGCCAAUCAAACCGGGAGAUAGCUGGUUCUCCCCGAAAGCUAUUUAGGUAGCGCCUCGUGAAUUCAUCUCCGGGGGUAGAGCACUGUUUCGGCAAGGGGGUCAUCCCGACUUACCAACCCGAUGCAAACUGCGAAUACCGGAGAAUGUUAUCACGGGAGACACACGGCGGGUGCUAACGUCCGUCGUGAAGAGGGAAACAACCCAGACCGCCAGCUAAGGUCCCAAAGUCAUGGUUAAGUGGGAAACGAUGUGGGAAGGCCCAGACAGCCAGGAUGUUGGCUUAGAAGCAGCCAUCAUUUAAAGAAAGCGUAAUAGCUCACUGGUCGAGUCGGCCUGCGCGGAAGAUGUAACGGGGCUAAACCAUGCACCGAAGCUGCGGCAGCGACGCUUAUGCGUUGUUGGGUA
RNAcentral lists this ribosomal RNA (1191 nucleotides) under Escherichia coli. RNAcentral describes it as "partial 23S ribosomal RNA". It matches the Rfam family "Bacterial large subunit ribosomal RNA", at positions 1 to 1230 of the family's 2925-position model. Lineage: Bacteria; Pseudomonadati; Pseudomonadota; Gammaproteobacteria; Enterobacterales; Enterobacteriaceae. The record is from RNAcentral.